Long non-coding RNA from Bos taurus (domestic cattle), 979 nucleotides. NCBI's taxonomy places the organism in Eukaryota, Metazoa, Chordata, Mammalia, Artiodactyla, Bovidae. The record is from Ensembl.
GGUCCUCGCUUGGUCCCGAGGCGCUUUGCUCCACACGUCUGUAAGAGCUCCACCACAAGGCCCUGGCUGCUGUGGCGUAGGGGCUACACUGGAGUGGCAUCGUGGCCAUGUUAUUACUAUAUUAUGGUGACGUUGCGGCUGCUGCUACGGCUGCUACGGCAGCCAGCAGAGACGCUGUGUUACGGCUGCCGUGUCCGCCAGGAGAGAACACGUGUCUGCAGUUCCUGCGGCUCCUCGAGUCUCCUUCCAACCUCUUAGCUUGGGCCUUGCCGACCCUGGGUUCAGCGAACAGUGCGCACAGUGAACAGCGAGACAAUUGGCAUCACAAACAGGAUGAAGAGCAAUACAAAAAUACAGGGACUUAUUUUUUCAUAUUUUAAUAAGAUUUUGAAAGACAAGGGGUGGCUUGAGAACAGGACCAGCUUUGUCUCCCUCACCGUCCUGACUGGUCCUCAGUCUCAGAUUCUCACAGACCAGCACCAGGAGACCUGGACAGGCUGUCAUGGCCAGCUCUCCGUGGAUUUGUGGAUUCGAAUCAAGAAUCAGGAAUUCUAGGACCUGCCCCCAUCUCACAUCCAUUGCAUCUCCACACCACCAUCAACCUCAUUUCUUAUUGAUUUAGUUCAGCUGCGUGGCCCUCUUGGCACCUCAGGAACAACACCUGUAAAACAGCUAACACAAUAAAUCCCCAGUCUGGGACUGGGUGCUACAUGGGUUGAUCUUGGGAUCAUAGAGCCAGCAAUUCUGCAGAUGGACCACCACUUUGGCGGAGGAACCUUAUCCUGUACCUGGCCAGACAUCAAGUGCCAGGGAGAGACCAUAGCGCAGCCUGAGUCAUGAGCCACACAUUCAAGGCCAUGAUCAGGAUCACCGCAAAACCCUGAUACCAGCCUCACAGAACACUAUGAAAUCUGAGGAGGACCGACGAUUCUAAGUGCUCCCCAAUGCAUCCUCUACAGCAUUUGCACACGGUGCCCAG